ACUACAAUGGUUGGUACAACGAGUUGACGAGUCGGUGACGGCGAGCUAAAUCUCUUAAAGCCCAAUCUACAGUUCGGAUUGUAGGCUGCAACUCGCCUACAUGAAGUCGGAAUCGCUAGUAAUCGCGGAUCAGCACGCCGCGGUGAAUACGUUCCCGGGCCUU
Molecule: ribosomal RNA, 163 nt
Filed under: uncultured Streptococcus sp.
Lineage: Bacteria; Bacillati; Bacillota; Bacilli; Lactobacillales; Streptococcaceae
Description: partial 16S ribosomal RNA
Rfam family: Bacterial small subunit ribosomal RNA
Source: RNAcentral